RNAcentral lists this ribosomal RNA (465 nucleotides) under uncultured bacterium. RNAcentral describes it as "partial 16S ribosomal RNA". It matches the Rfam family "Bacterial small subunit ribosomal RNA", at positions 28 to 507 of the family's 1533-position model. The record is from RNAcentral.
GACGAACGCUGGCGGCGUGCUUAACACAUGCAAGUCGAACGGAAAGGCCCUGCUUGCAGGGUACUCGAGUGGCGAACGGGUGAGUAACACGUGGGUGAUCUGCCCUGCACUUCGGGAUAAGCCUGGGAAACUGGGUCUAAUACCGGAUAGGAGCCAUUUUUAGCGUGAUGGUUGGAAAGUUUUUUCGGUGUAGGAUGAGCUCGCGGCCUAUCAGCUUGUUGGUGGGGUAAUGGCCUACCAAGGCGGCGACGGGUAGCCGGCCUGAGAGGGUGGACGGCCACAUUGGGACUUAGAUACGGCCCAGACUCCUACGGGAGGCAGCAGUGGGGAAUAUUGCACCAUGGGCGCAAGCCUGAUGCAGCGACGCCGCGUGGGGGAUGACGGCCUUCGGGUUGUAAACUCCUUUCGCUAGGGACGAAGCUUUUUGUGACGGUACCUAGAGAAGAAGCACCGGCUAACUACGUG